UACGUAGGGUGCAAGCGUUGUCCGGAAUUAUUGGGCGUAAAGAGCUUGUAGGCGGUCUGUCGCGUCGGCUGUGAAAACCCAGGGCUCAACCCUGGACCUGCAUUCGAUACGGGCAGACUAGAGUUCGGUAGGGGAGACUGGAAUUCCUGGUGUAGCGGUGAAAUGCGCAGAUAUCAGGAGGAACACCGGUGGCGAAGGCGGGUCUCUGGGCCGAAACUGACGCUGAGGAGCGAAAGCGUGGGGAGCGAACAGG
This 253-nucleotide ribosomal RNA is filed under the name uncultured bacterium. Its description in RNAcentral is "partial 16S ribosomal RNA". It matches the Rfam family "Bacterial small subunit ribosomal RNA", at positions 524 to 776 of the family's 1533-position model. The record is from RNAcentral.